RNAcentral lists this ribosomal RNA (505 nucleotides) under uncultured bacterium. RNAcentral describes it as "partial 16S ribosomal RNA". It matches the Rfam family "Bacterial small subunit ribosomal RNA", at positions 28 to 507 of the family's 1533-position model. The record is from RNAcentral.
GACGAACGCUGGCGGCGUGCCUAAUACAUGCAAGUCGAACGCACAGUUUAUACCGUAGCUUGCUACACCAUAGACUGUGAGUUGCGAACGGGUGAGUAACGCGUAGGUAACCUGCCUGGUAGCGGGGGAUAACUAUUGGAAACGAUAGCUAAUACCGCAUAAUAUUGAUUAUUGCAUGAUAAUUAAUUGAAAGGUGCAAUUGCACCACUACCAGAUGGACCUUCGUUGUAUUAGCUAGUAGGUGAGGUAACGGCUCACCUAGGCGAGGAUACAUAGCCGACCGGAGAGGGUGGGCGGCCACACUGGGACGGAGACACGGCACAGACGCCUACGGGAGGCAGCAGGAGGGAAUCUUCGGCAAGGGACGAAAGUCUGACCGAGAAACGCCGCGGGAGUGAAGAAGGAUGUCGGAUCGGAAAGCUCGGUUGUAAGAGAAGAACGGGUGUGAGAGUGGAAAGUUCACAGUGUGACGGUAUCUGACCAGAAAGGGACGGCUAACUACGUG